RNAcentral lists this non-coding RNA (148 nucleotides) under Nomascus leucogenys (northern white-cheeked gibbon). Lineage: Eukaryota; Metazoa; Chordata; Mammalia; Primates; Hylobatidae. The record is from Rfam by way of RNAcentral.
GCCGGGCACGGUGGCGCGAGCCUGUAAUCCCAGGUACUUGGGAGGCUGAGGCAGGAGAAUCGCUUGAACCCAGGAGACGGAGAUUGCAGUGAGCCAAGGUCGUGCCACUGCACUCCUGUCUGGGUGACAGAGUGAGACUCCAUCUCAU